Molecule: ribosomal RNA, 255 nt
Filed under: uncultured bacterium
Lineage: Bacteria
Description: partial 16S ribosomal RNA
Rfam family: Archaeal small subunit ribosomal RNA
Source: RNAcentral
UACCAGCACCCCGAGUGGUCGGGACGUUUUAUUGGGCCUAAAGCAUCCGUAGCCGGUUCUGCAAGUCUUCCGUUAAAUCCACCUGCUUAACAGAUGGGCCGCGGAAGAUACUAUAGAGCUAGGAGGCGGGAGAGGCAAGCGGUACUCGAUGGGUAGGGGUAAAAUCCGUUGAUCCAUUGAAGACCACCAGUGGCGAAGGCGGCUUGCCAGAGCGCGCUCGACGGUGAGGGAUGAAAGCUGGGGGAGCAAACCGGG